GUAAAAAGUUAGGUAAGAAAAUGUUGGGAGGGUGAAAUGGGCUAUUUUUUUUAUAUGAUCAGGGCAUACUUUUAGGGGACUCUUUUGUCUCAUGUUAUUUUUUUAGGUCGACAUGUGAGGAAGGGCCACUCUUGUCACAUGGUUGCUGACACCAUAUAAAGAUGGUACCAGGCACUGCUUUCUCUUUCAGCAUAUUAAAGUGUAUUUUUUGAAUCUUUGGUAUAUUGAUGCUAAACGCACGGUUUUCAAUUUCUGGUAGUUCUGCAUGUGCUGCAUUUGUUGCUGGGAACACUUCUAUUCUUUUUAACUUCUGACGUUUCUGAGUUCCACCAAAUGUAAACAAUAAUUUGGGAG
This 354-nucleotide unclassified non-coding RNA is filed under the name Hevea brasiliensis (rubber tree). The record is from RNAcentral. Lineage: Eukaryota; Viridiplantae; Streptophyta; Magnoliopsida; Malpighiales; Euphorbiaceae.